CCCUUAGAUGUUCUGGGCCGCACGCGCGCUACACUGAUACGUUCAACAAGUUCCUUGGCCGAAAGGUCUGGGUAAUCUCCAAAUUUCGUCGUGAUGGGGAUAGAUUAUUGCAAUUAUUAAUCUUCAACGAGGAAUGCCUAGUAAGCGCAAGUCAUCAGCUUGCGUUGAUUACGUCCCUGCCCUUUGUACACACCGCCCGUCGCUCCUACCGAUUGAAUGGUCCGGUGAAGCGCUCGGACCGCGGCCUCUUGACGGUUCGCUGUCGAUUGGCUGUGGGAAGUUCGUUAAACCUUAUCAUUUAGAGGAAGGAGAAGUCGUAACA
Molecule: ribosomal RNA, 322 nt
Filed under: uncultured eukaryote
Lineage: Eukaryota
Description: partial 18S ribosomal RNA
Rfam family: Eukaryotic small subunit ribosomal RNA
Source: RNAcentral